RNAcentral lists this ribosomal RNA (253 nucleotides) under uncultured bacterium. RNAcentral describes it as "partial 16S ribosomal RNA". It matches the Rfam family "Bacterial small subunit ribosomal RNA", at positions 524 to 776 of the family's 1533-position model. The record is from RNAcentral.
UACGAGGGGGGCAAGCGUUGUCCGGAUUUAUUGGGCGUAAAGAGCGUGUAGGCGGCUAGGUAGGUCCGUUGUGAAAACUCGAGGCUCAACCUCGAGACGUCGAUGGAAACCAUCUAGCUAGAGUCCGGAAGAGGAGAGUGGAAUUCCUGGUGUAGCGGUGAAAUGCGCAGAUAUCAGGAAGAACACCCGUGGCGAAGGCGGCCCUCUGGUACGUGACUGACGCUGAGACGCGAAAGCGUGGGGAGCGAACAGG